AAGCACGUGCACGCCCACGAGGAUGCACAUAUCCACAAAAGUGCUGCGUUGCCCUUCACGCAUGCACACAAGCGUGCACACAAGCACGCCUUCCCCAGCCAGUCCAUGGGGCUAAAAAGGUUGGGAACCACUGCCAUAAAGGAACCACUGGCCUGAGCUUCCAAUAAGCUGAGCAGGGUUGUUGACAUGACAUUUUGAAUAUUGCUCACUUAUUGAAACACCAGAAGUCAGAACCGCCUUGACAGCACAUAACAACAAUAACAAAAGUCUGGCUUUGAAUCCCUGUCCACAGUGACUUGUCUGUACUGCUCAAUUUAGACUGCUUUUCUAGCAACUACCGGCUCUUAAACAGUUACAUGUCAGAAAGGCUUUACGUCAUCCAAUUUAAAAUGGAGUAUCUUUACUUCUCAAUUUUUUUCAUUAAGGAUGCUGGAGAAUUUUAUUUCACAAAGUACACUGUGGGAGCAAAAGAUUUCCCCAACUCUAUUGCAAGACAGCUAUAUUCCAAGCAGACGAAGAGACCAAUCAGAGAGCAGCAGCAUCUAAACAGGAAGAACUCUGGAGGGUUUUACAUCAUAAAUGACGGGGGUUGAAACAUCUGAAAGAAGGUGCCGCUGCAGGGAGACAAAGAGGAAUGGAGAAGAGAUACUGACUGGCUGAAGGGCGAGAAUCCAAAAAAACACACACGCUUCACAAACAGAAAUGUGGAAGAAAAGGCUGCUGACACCGAGAAGAUAAAAUGGCACCCAAAAAAGCCCCAGCAGCAGACAAGAACAAAGAUGCCAAGGGGAAGUCUGAUGAUGCCAAGCCUGCAGAUGACAAAGGAGAAAAAAAAACACUGUUUCAAAAAAUAAAGGAUUUUUGGGCAAGUCCAAUGGGUAUAUAUGUGGCUAUAGUAUUCACCAUCAUCCUUGUUGUCAUGGCAAUAGGAAGUGCCCUUGUGUGUCUGAAUGAGGCGAGCAGAACAGCUGACCUACGAUAUGCAAUGGAGCUUGUUAAGAAAUUUAUGAUGACAAAAGAUCCAAGCUAUGAAACUAGGGAUGGUAAGUACGGUAAUGAAUUCAAGUAUUUCCGAUUCUUUCCACCAGGUACUCUACCUAGAAUACAUCCACCGAGCAGAUAUCCAUGUGCAAUCUCUGACGUCAGUUUAGAGAAAGGUCAAGUUAAUAACUGGGUUAGAUGGGAACAAUGGUGAUUGGAAGAAGAAC
Molecule: long non-coding RNA, 1208 nt
Filed under: Pogona vitticeps (central bearded dragon)
Lineage: Eukaryota; Metazoa; Chordata; Lepidosauria; Squamata; Agamidae
Description: lncRNA (ENSPVIG00000000466.1)
Source: RNAcentral